UGUAGGUUUCCUUUGUACACCCCUACAUUCUGGGCUUUGGGUAGCUAAUGUCUGGCCUGCCCUAUCUAAGCAUGGAGGUGAGUCACAUGGCCUAAACUUAAAGUAUGGGCUCCUAGAGUGGGGUGGACUGCGUGAGGAUGGUUUCACAAAGCAACAAACAGCUCCCGCUUUAUGCAGCGGAAGGAUAACGGGCUGGUGCUCUCUAAGUCCAAUAAAAACCUGAUGGGCUUUCUAAUUAAACCACCA
This 246-nucleotide signal recognition particle RNA is filed under the name Nicotiana sylvestris (wood tobacco). Its description in RNAcentral is "Plant signal recognition particle RNA". It matches the Rfam family "Plant signal recognition particle RNA", at positions 48 to 300 of the family's 305-position model. RNAcentral also lists the same sequence under 1 other name. The record is from Rfam by way of RNAcentral. Lineage: Eukaryota; Viridiplantae; Streptophyta; Magnoliopsida; Solanales; Solanaceae.